RNAcentral lists this long non-coding RNA (2853 nucleotides) under Marmota monax (woodchuck). Lineage: Eukaryota; Metazoa; Chordata; Mammalia; Rodentia; Sciuridae. The record is from RNAcentral.
UGAUGGUGGAAUGUGAUGGACAUUAUUAUCCAAAGUACAGGUAUGAAGACAGGAAUUAGUGUGAAUAUACUUUGUAUACAACCAGAGAUAUGAAAAAUUGGGCUCUAAUGUGUAAUAAGAAUUAUAAUGCAUCCUGCUGUCACAAUAUAAAUAAAUUAAAAGAAAUUCCCAAGGAGGGGCACCCUGCAGGGCCGCCUACCCUCCCACUUGGCUCCUGCUCCUACCAGCUUCUCUGGCAAAACUCCUGGGGUGGGGGGGUGAGGGGGUGUGAAACCCCACUGAAAGGGUUCCGUGGGAGCCAGACAAACCGCCCAGGGGUAGGAAAUGAACAGGCCGGCCGGACCAAUAAUGGCUGGCUGGGGCUGCAGUCCCCCACCCACCCCCAGCUGGGGAGGCUUGGGGGGGGGCUGUCUGAUGAUGUGGGUGGAGAAUGGGGGUGGUAGAUAAGAAAAGAGGAAUAGGAAGAGUCCAAAGGACACUUUCUCUUGUUCAAAGGUUUAUUUUGGGCUUCCCACCCCCACCCAUGAUCAGGAGGUCCGAGUGCUGCCAACUACCGCCGGAAACUGUUCUUUGGUAACCUUUUGGCAGGCCCAUCUCAGCCACCCUGGGAAGGCAGCAUGAGGUCAUAAAAUUAGGGACAUUCAUGAGAAACUAGUUUUUUAAGAUAUUGCAGUAUCUCCCAGAUCUCCGCCCCGGCACAGUGUCACUGGCAACAGAAAUUCUUUCCGGAGAGCAGCCCCUGGCCCUGGACAUCCUCCAGGCCAGCCCUCAAUCCACUGCACCACUGACAGUCACCCCCUCCCUUUUCUUUUCCAAUUUUUUUUUAUUGGGAUAAUAUUUACAUACAUAAAAUUUGCCCUAGAGUGUUUGUUAGUGUACAGUUCAAAGGCAUCACGCACACUUGUAUCAUAUGCAACCACGCCCACCAUCCAUCUCUAGCCUCUUCAAGUUUCCAAAUAGAAACUGUACCCUUGAAACAACAGGUCCCCCUCUCCAAUGCAUGGGCUCAUUCAGCUGGGCAGAGAAGGAGAAUGUGCUCUGGGCUGGGUGAACUGAGCAAAAUUUUUUUUUUUUUUUUUUUUUAGAGACUGAACCCAGGGGUGCUUAACCACUGAGCCACAUCCCCAGCCCAUUUUAUUUUUUAUUUUGAGACAGGGUUUUGCUAAGUUGCUUAGGGCCUCACUAAAUUGCUGACACUGGCCUUGAACUUAAAAAUCUCCUGCCUCAGCCUCACGGAGUUGCUGAGAUUACAGGCGUGUACCACGGUGCCCGGCUCUAAUUUUCCUAAAGUCCAGUUUGUCUACUUUUUUUUUUUUUUUGCCUUUGUCUUUGAUGUCAUGUCUAAGAAAUUACUAAGUUCAAUGUUGCAAAAAAUUUCCCUGCUUUGCUUUCUUCUAAGAGUUUUGUAGUUUUAGGUCUUACAUUUAGGUGAUCACCACUGUUUAAAAAAAACUGUCUUUCUGGGGCUGGGGGUAUAGCCCAAGUGGUAGAGUACUUGCUUGGCAUGUUCAAGGCCAUGGGUUUAUUUGGUUGUCUUUAUGCCUGAGCCACGCUCUUGAUUUCUAUAGCUUUGUUCUGUUUUGAAAUCAGGAAGUGUGUGAGUCUUUCAGUUUUGUUCUUCUUUUUCAAAAUUAUUUUGGCUCUUUGGAGUCCCGUGAGACCCCCACAUAAAUUCUAGGAUGGAUUUUUCUUUUUCAUAUUGUUUGGAUGUACUGGGAUCAAACACAGGGCCUGGCCCAGGCUAGGCAAGUGCUCUUCCACUGAGCUAUACCGCCAGCCAGGGUGAUUGAUUGGUUGAUUAGUGCUGGGUAUUGAACCCAGGGCCUUGUGCAUGAGGAGCAAGCACUCUAUCAACUGAGCUAUAUUCCCAGCCCAAGGAUGAUUUAUUCUUAUUUCUGCAAAAAGCAUCAUUGGGCCGGGUGCAGUGGCACAUGCCUGUAAUCCCAGCGGCUCGGGAGGCUGAGGCAGGAGGAUCACAAGUUCAAAGCCAGCCUCAGCAAAAGUGAGGCACUAAGCAACUCAGUGAGACCCUGUCUCUAAAUAAAAUACAAAAUAGGGCUGGGGAUGUGGCUCAGGGGUCCAGUGCCCCUGAGUUCAAUCCCUGGUAACCACUCCCAUCACAAAAAAAAAAAUCAUUGGGAUUUUGACAGAAAUUGCAUUGAAUCUGUAGAUCAUCUGGGGGUAGUGUAGACAUCUUAAUAUUCAGUGUUUCAGUAUGUAAAUAUGGAUGACUUUCCAUUUAUUUACAUUUUUAAUUUAUUUCAGUGUUUGUUAGUUUUCAUUGUACUAGGCUUUUGUCUCCUUGGUUAGUUGAUUUCGAGGUGUUUUAUUAUUUUUGAUGCUAUUACAGAUGAAAAAUUUUAUAGUGCAAAUCUGAAAUAAAUAGAUUUCUUUUCUCUGAUAGUUUAUUAUUAUUGUACAGAAAUGUAACUGAUUUUUUUUGUGUUGAUUUUGUAUCUAGUUACUUUGCUGGAUUUAUUAGUUAUGACAACUAUUUUGAAUCCUUAGACUUCCUCAUGUAAGGUCACAUCAUCUGUGAACAGGGGAAGUUUGACCUCUUCCCUUCCAAGUUGAUGCUUUUUGUUAGUCUUGCCUUGUUUAAGGUUUUAGACAGAACUUUCAGUACCAUGUUGAAUAGAAGUGACCAAAGUGGGCAUCCUUGCUGUCCCUCCUCUUUUAAAAUAACCCUUUUAUUUUAGAACAGUUUUGGAUUUACAGAAAAGUUGUAAAGAUGGUACGAGAAUCCCCAGGUGCCCCAUCUCUGGUCCUCUAUCAUCACCAUCUUACAUUAGUUCUGGAAAAUUCUUUAAAAUGUGUGAGUGAAUAAUGCUAUCAUUAACUAAAUAAAGUCCA